GCUGUGGCUCAGUGGUAGGGUGCUUGCCUAGCAUGCAUGAGGUACUGGGCCCAAUCCCCAGCACAACA
This 68-nucleotide transfer RNA is filed under the name Marmota monax (woodchuck). RNAcentral's name for it is "tRNA.Ala". Lineage: Eukaryota; Metazoa; Chordata; Mammalia; Rodentia; Sciuridae. The record is from RNAcentral.